This 373-nucleotide ribosomal RNA is filed under the name uncultured bacterium. Its description in RNAcentral is "bacterial SSU rRNA". It matches the Rfam family "Bacterial small subunit ribosomal RNA", at positions 525 to 896 of the family's 1533-position model. The record is from RNAcentral.
ACAGAGGUCCCAAGCGUUACUGAGAAUUACUGGGUUUAAAGGGUGCGUAGGUGGCCCGUUAAGUCUGUUGUGAAAUCCCCGGGCUCAACCCGGGAAUUGCUUCGGAUACUGGCGUGCUUGAGGCCGGUAGAGGUCACUGGAACUGACGGUGGAGCGGUGAAAUGCGUAGAUAUCGUCAGGAACGCCUGUGGUGAAGACGGGUGACUGGGCCGGUUCUGACACUGAGGCACGAAAGCGUGGGGAGCAAACGGGAUUAGAUACCCCGGUAGUCCACGCCCUAAACGAUGCAGACUAGAUUGCAGCGGGUCUUACCCCGUUGCGGUCGGAGCGAAAUUGUUAAGUCUGCCACCUGGGAAGUACGGUCGCAAGGCUA